AAUGGGCGAAAGCCUGAUGCAGCCAUACCGCGUGUGUGAAGAAGGCCUUCGGGUUGUAAAGCACUUUCGUCAGGGAAGAAAGGUACGGAGUUAAUACCUCCGUACUGUGACGGUACCUGAAUAAGAAGCACCGGCUAACUCCGUGCCAGCAGCCGCGGUAAUACGGAGGGUGCAAGCGUUAAUCGGAAUCACUGGGCGUAAAGCGCGCGUAGGCGGUCUGGUCAGUCAGAUGUGAAAGCCCCGGGCUCAACCUGGGAACUGCAUUUGAUACUGCCAGACUAGAGUGUAGUAGAGGGAAGCGGAAUUCCGAGUGUAGCGGUGAAAUGCGUAGAUAUUCGGAGGAACAUCUAUGGCGAAGGCGGCUUCCUGGACUAACACUGACGCUGAGGUGCGAAAGCGUGGGGAGCAAACUGGAUU
RNAcentral lists this ribosomal RNA (417 nucleotides) under uncultured Gammaproteobacteria bacterium. RNAcentral's name for it is "bacterial SSU rRNA". It matches the Rfam family "Bacterial small subunit ribosomal RNA", at positions 370 to 779 of the family's 1533-position model. The record is from RNAcentral. Lineage: Bacteria; Pseudomonadati; Pseudomonadota; Gammaproteobacteria.